GCCCAGGAAGUGAAGGCCCUGGAAGUGGAGUCGGUGAAGUCGGCGACGCCAAUUGCUGCCUUGCGUUCCCGGGCCGUGGGAGAUGGAGAACGGAGCGGUCUACAGAUCCACCACCGAGGCGCACCCGGGCCCCGCCAGAGGCGCCCGGAGCGGCCUCGUCGCCUACUUCACCCUGCGCCGGCUCAAGAGGACCCGGCUAAUCAUCAAACUCCUUCAGCUGGUGCUGUCUCUGUUGGCCUUUAUCUGUGAGGAAGUUGUGUCACAAUGUACUUUGUGUAGAGGCCUUUACUUUUUCGAAUUUGUAAGCUGCAGUGCCUUUCUGCUGAGUCUCCUUUUGCUGAUUGUGUACUGCACUCCAGUUUAUGAAAAAGUUGAUCACGCAAAAGUCAAGUCAUCGGAUUUUUAUAUUACUGUGGGAACAGGAUUGGUGUUUUUGGUGGCAUCCAUCUUUUUCGCUUUGACACAUGACAAUACCACAGCUGAACUUGCUGCAAUUAUUAUUCUACGAAGAUCCUAAGUUCUUUUGAUGCUAAUUCUAUUUGUUGGAUUUACUGAAUCUUCCUCACAUUGGUUCCACUGGGAAUACGUUCACUGAAUGGAAUACAGAAAUUGUCUAUUGAUAUGGAAAGAUAUCCAGUUUAAUAUGACACUGUGCCUCUUGGUACAGAUUAUAAGUAAGGCAUACUGGGGGGAAUCAAGCAGGUUAGAAGUUGAGUGUGUGCAGUUCCCUAAGCUUUCACUAGCCUAUAGUUUGUUCAGAGCAUAAACAGACUACAGGCAGAGAGGGACCCCACCCCACAGUGCUCCCAUGUGUAUGUACAGAAGGUACAGGGGGCACUCAAGUAAUCAUUCAACUCUCAAAGAAUGGAAGCUCUCUGGAAGAGCAGCCUUAUUGGAAAAGGAGACCCUCAAGAGCUCAGGGGCUGGACAAUCCCACUCCUGGCCAUAUAUCCAAAGAAAACCAUGACUCAAAAGGAUACAUGCACCCCUAUGUUCAC
This is a non-coding RNA of Kogia breviceps (pygmy sperm whale), 998 nucleotides long. The record is from RefSeq and is a predicted model, not a curated record. NCBI's taxonomy places the organism in Eukaryota, Metazoa, Chordata, Mammalia, Artiodactyla, Physeteridae.